AGUGAACGCUGGCGGUAGGCCUAACACAUGCAAGUCGAACGGCAGCACAGUAAGAGCUUGCUCUUACGGGUGGCGAGUGGCGGACGGGUGAGGAAUACAUCGGAAUCUACUUUUUCGUGGGGGAUAACGUAGGGAAACUUACGCUAAUACCGCAUACGACCUACGGGUGAAAGCAGGGGAUCUUCGGACCUUGCGCGAUUGAAUGAGCCGAUGUCGGAUUAGCUAGUUGGCGGGGUAAAGGCCCACCAAGGCGACGAUCCGUAGCUGGUCUGAGAGGAUGAUCGGCCACACUGGAACUGGGACACGGUCCAGACUCCUACGGGAGGCAGCAGUGGGGAAUAUUGGACAAUGGGCGCAAGCCUGAUCCAGCCAUACCGCGUGGGUGAAGAAGGCCUUCGGGUUGUAAAGCCCUUUUGUUGGGAAAGAAAAGCAGCAGGUUAAUACCCCGCUGUUCCGACGGUACCCAAAGAAUAAGCACCGGCUAACUUCGUG
RNAcentral lists this ribosomal RNA (492 nucleotides) under uncultured bacterium. RNAcentral describes it as "partial 16S ribosomal RNA". It matches the Rfam family "Bacterial small subunit ribosomal RNA", at positions 29 to 507 of the family's 1533-position model. The record is from RNAcentral.